This 253-nucleotide ribosomal RNA is filed under the name uncultured bacterium. RNAcentral describes it as "partial 16S ribosomal RNA". It matches the Rfam family "Bacterial small subunit ribosomal RNA", at positions 524 to 776 of the family's 1533-position model. The record is from RNAcentral.
UACAGAGGUCUCAAGCGUUGUUCGGAUUCAUUGGGCGUAAAGGGUGCGUAGGCGGCGCGGUAAGUCGGGUGUGAAAUCUCGGAGCUUAACUCCGAAACUGCAUUCGAUACUGCCGUGCUUGAGGACUGGAGAGGAGACUGGAAUUUACGGUGUAGCGGUGAAAUGCGUAGAUAUCAGGAAGAACACCAACGGCGAAGGCAGCUCGCUGGGACGGUACUGACGCUGAGACGCGAAAGCGUGGGGAGCGAACAGG